Molecule: ribosomal RNA, 332 nt
Filed under: uncultured Pseudomonadota bacterium
Lineage: Bacteria; Pseudomonadati; Pseudomonadota
Description: bacterial SSU rRNA
Rfam family: Bacterial small subunit ribosomal RNA
Source: RNAcentral
CGUGUAGGCGGUUGCCCAAGUCCGAUGUGAAAGCCCGAGGCUUAGCCUCGGAAGUGCAUCGGAAACUAGGCAGCUGGAGCGCGAUAGAGGAGGGUAGAAUUCCUGGUGUAGCGGUGAAAUGCGUAGAUAUCAGGAGGAAUACCGGCGGCGAAGGCGGCCCUCUGGAUCGUUGCUGACGCUGAGACGCGAAAGCGUGGGGAGCAAACAGGAUUAGAUACCCUGGUAGUCCACGCUGUAAACGAUGGGUACUAGGUGUUCGGGGUAUUGACCCCCUGAGUGCCGCAGUUAACGCAUUAAGUACCCCGCCUGGGGACUACGGCCGCAAGGUUAAA